GCCAGCAAUCCAAACAUUCGAGGAUUGGACAGGAUAGUCGAAUCCCAAAAUAGAAAGGCAAGAAGGAACCUCUGACACUGAAUAAGCAAAGGCCCAACCAUGGCAUCAAGCAGCAACCCCUUGCUUUCUUCAAACUUCUUUGGUUCUAAAAUCCUACUUUCUCCUCCAACUCCCAAAACCACCAAAUCACCAUUUCUUUCCCCUUUCUUCUCUGCAAGAAAGACGCAAAUUGCUCAAGCUAUCCUCAAUAGAAAACAGCCC
This 261-nucleotide unclassified non-coding RNA is filed under the name Hevea brasiliensis (rubber tree). The record is from RNAcentral. Lineage: Eukaryota; Viridiplantae; Streptophyta; Magnoliopsida; Malpighiales; Euphorbiaceae.